UUAAAAAAAUGUAUCAGCAUAAAUUAGAUGAGCCACUUUUAUUCCAUAGGCUUGGAAUAAAAUAAUUUGCCUGAUGAUGAGUGAUUUCAUGCAAGCUAAUUUUUGUCCACUUUCCCUCUCCUCGCCGCCUCUCCUUCAUUACCUUUGACAUUUUUCAAAAAGAGACAGAGGAGAGAGGACAGAGGACAGAGGAGAGAGAGUACAGAGGAGAGAGAGUACAGAGGAGAGAGGACAGUGGAGAGAGGACAGAGAGUACAGAGGACAGAGAGUACAGAGGAGAGAGAGUACAGAGGAGAGAGAGUACAGAGGAGAGAGAGUACAGAGGAGAGAGAGUACAGAGGAGAGAGAGUACAGAGGAGAAAGAGGACAGAGGAGAGAGAGUACAGAGGAGAGAGAGUACAGAGGAGAAAGAGGAGAGAGGAGAGAGAGGACAGAGGAGAGAGAGGACAGAGGAGAGAGAGGACAGAGGAGAGAGAGGACAGAGGAGAGAGAGUACAGAGGAGAGAGAGGACAGAGGAGAGAGAGGACAGAGGAGAGAGAGGACAGAGGAGAGAGAGUACAGAGGAGAGAGAGGACAGAGGAGAGAGAGGACAGAGGAGAGAGAGGACAGAGGAGAGAGAGGACAGAGGAGAGAGAGGACAGAGGAGAGAGUACAGAGGAGAGAGAGGACAGAGGAGAGAGGACAGAGGAGAGAGGACAGAGAGUACAGAGGAGAGAGAGGACAGAGGAGAGAGAGGACAGAGGAGAGAGAGUACAGAGGAGAGAGAGUACAGAGGAGAAAGAGGACAGAGGAGAGAGAGGACAGAGGAGAGAGGACAGAGGAGAGAGUACAGAGGAGAGAGGACAGAGAGUACAGAGGAGAGAGAGAACAGUGGAGAGAGAGUACAGAGGAGAGAGAGUACAGAGGAGAGAGAGUACAGAGGAGAGAGAGUACAGAGGAGAGAGAGUACAGAGGAGAGAGAGUACAGAGGAGAAAGAGGACAGAGGAGAGAGAGGACAGAGGAGAGAGAGGACAGAGGAGAGAGAGGACAGAGGAGAGAGAGGACAGAGGAGAGAGAGGACAGAGGAGAGAGAGUACAGAGGAGUGAGAGGACAGAGGAGAGAGAGUACAGAGGAGUGAGAGUACAGAGGAGAGAGAGUACAGAGGAGAGAGAGGACAGUACAGAGGAGAGAGAGGACAGGACAGAGGAGAGAGAGGACAGAGGAGAGAGAGUACAGAGGAGAGAGAGUACAGAGGAGAGAGAGUACAGAGGAGAGAGAGUACAGAGGAGAGAGGACAGAGGAGAGAGAGGACAGAGGAGAGAGAGGACAGAGGAGAGAGAAUACAGAGGAGAGAGGACAGAGGAGAGAGAGUACAGAGGACAGAGGACAGAGAGUACAGAGGAGAGAGAGGACAGUGGAGAGAGAGUACAGAGGAGAGAGAGUACAGAGGAGAGAGAGUACAGAGGAGAGAGAGGACAGAGGAGAGAGAGUACAGAGGAGAAAGAGUACAGAGGAGAAAGAGGACAGAGGGGAGAGAGGACAGAGGAGAGAGAGUACAGAGGAGAGAGAGUACAGAGGAGAGAGAGACAGAGGAGAGAGAGUACAGAGGAGAGAGAGUACAGAGGAGAGAGAGUACAGAGGAGAGAGGACAGAGGAGAGAGAGGACAGAGGAGAGAGAGGACAGAGGAGAGAGAGGACAGAGGAGAGAGGACAGAGGAGAGAGAGUACAGAGGAGAGAGAGGACAGAGGAGAGAGAGGACAGAGGAGAGAGAGGACAGAGGAGAGAGAGUACAGAGGAGAGAGGACAGAGGAGAGAGGACAGAGGACAGAGGAGAGAGAGGACAGAGGAGAGAGAGGAGAGAGGACAGAGGAGAGCGAGGACAGAGGAGAGAGGACAGAGGGGAGAGAGGACAGAGGAGAGAGAGUACAGAGGAGAGAGAGUACAGAGGAGAGAGAGACAGAGGAGAGAGAGUACAGAGGAGAGAGAGUACAGAGGAGAGAGAGUACAGAGGAGAGAGGACAGAGGAGAGAGAGGACAGAGGAGAGAGAGGACAGAGGAGAGAGAGGACAGAGGAGAGAGGACAGAGGAGAGAGAGUACAGAGGAGAGAGAGGACAGAGGAGAGAGAGGACAGAGGAGAGAGAGGACAGAGGAGAGAGAGUACAGAGGAGAGAGGACAGAGGAGAGAGGACAGAGGACAGAGGAGAGAGAGGACAGAGGAGAGAGAGGAGAGAGGACAGAGGAGAGCGAGGACAGAGGAGAGAGGACAGAGGACAGAGGAGAGAGAGGACAGAGGAGAGAGAGGACAGAGAGGACAGAGGAGAGAGAGGACAGAGGAGAGAGAGUACAGAGGAGAGAGAGGACAGAGGAGAGAGAGUACAGAGGAGAGAGGACAGAGGAGAGAGAGUACAGAGGAGAGAGGACAGAGGAGAGAGUACAGAGGAGAGAGAGUACAGAGGAGAGAGAGUACAGAGGAGAGAGAGUACAGAGGAGAGAGAGUACAGAGGAGAGAGAGUACAGAGGAGAGAGAGUACAGAGGAGAGAGAGUACAGAGGAGAGAGAGUACAGAGGAGAGAGAGAGUACAGAGGAGAGAGAGAGUACAGAGGAGAGAGAGGACAGAGGAGAGAGAGGACAGAGGAGAGAGAGGACAGAGGAGAGAGAGGACAGAGGAGAGAGGACAGAGGACAGAGGAGAGAGAGGAGAGAGGACAGAGGAGAGCGAGGACAGAGGAGAGAGGACAGAGGACAGAGAGGACAGAGGAGAGAGAGUACAGAGGAGAGAGAGUACAGAGGAGAGAGAGUACAGAGGAGAGAGAGGACAGAGGAGAGAGAGGACAGAGGAGAGAGAGUACAGAGGAGAGAGAGUACAGAGGAGAGAGGACAGAGGAGAGAGAGGACAGAGGAGAGAGAGGACAGAGGAGAGAGAGGACAGGGGAGAGAGAGUACAGAGGAGAGAGGACAGGAGAGAGAGAGUACAGAGGAGAGAGAGUACAGAGGAGAGAGUACAGAGGAGGGAGAGGACAGAGGAGAGAGUACAGAGGAGAGAGAGGACAGAGGAGAGAGUACAGAGGAGAGAGUACAGAGGAGAGAGAGGACAGAGGAGAGAGAGGACAGAGGAGAGAGAGGACAGAGGAGAGAGAGAGGACAGAGGAGAGAGAGGACAGAGGAGAGAGAGAGGACAGAGGAGAGAGAGGACAGAGGAGAGAGAGGACAGAGGAGAGAGAGGACAGAGGAGAGAGAGUACAGAGGAGAGAGAGUACAGAGGAGAGAGAGGACAGGACAGAGGAGAGAGAGGACAGAGGAGAGAGGGGACAGAGGAGAGAGUGAAGAGGAGAGAGAGUACAGAGGAGAGAGAGUACAGAGGAGAGAGGACAGAGGAGAGAGAGGACAGAGGAGAGAGAGGACAGAGGAGAGAGAAUACAGAGGAGAGAGGACAGAGGAGAGAGAGGACAGAGGAGAGAGAGGACAGAGGAGAGAGGACAGAGGAGAGAGAGGACAGAGGAGAGAGAGGACAGAGGAGAGAGAGGACAGAGGAGAGAGAGGACAGAGGAGAGAGAGGACAGAGGAGAGAGAGGACAGAGGAGAGAGAAUACAGAGGAGAGAGGACAGAGGAGAGAGUACAGAGGAGAGAGAGGACAGAGGAGAGAGAGUACAGAGGAGAGAGAGGACAGAGGAGAGAGAGUACAGAGGAUGCAGGAGUUGCUUAAAUGCAAAUGAGAAAAGGCCUCAGUGUCCUCUUCUAAGUAGAGGUGGAAGUUUAAGGUGAGGAGAUGAGGUCACUGACGGUAGAGAUCACCAAUGGCCCCACCGUUACUCUUUCAGGGGUGGAAGUAUGGACAGAGUCUCUCUGCGAAGAUGUAACUGUGAAUGAGUAGAUAUGAGACCUGGACUCCACAUCAUUCCCCCCUUCCCAGUCUACAUACACGCCCACCCUCUGGUGCUUCUCGACCAGUGGCAGGGGGACAGGGGGGUCUGCAGAGCGCAGUGCUUAGUCCUGUUCCUCAGGGCGACUGUCCAGUAGCCACGCACAGGGUUUAGGCUAUUCCCUCCUUUCUUGUUGACAGACUCUCUCCCUACUCCUAUGUCCCACUCUGUCUUCCCCUUCACCUGCACCUCGCAGUAGAACCUCCCUGAGGAAAAGCCCUCCUUCCUCAGGACACUGAUACCUCUCAGGGUUGUCAGGGAGGUUCAGCGCUGUUUUGCCGUGGGCCACUUGUUUACCAUUGUCAGAGAGGAUGACUUUGGGGUGAGCUGUAUCAGGGUCAAGGGUCACAUCCACGGCACACUGCUUAAUUCUUGUAAGUUCUGUGUCACACAAUCUUUUCACUUCAUCUUCAGUGACUUCUCAAACUGGGACCGAGCUCUACUCACAGCUCUCCUUACUGUUCUUACGUACACAACACUUUGACCAAUGAUCUCAGACCAGUUCUUGGUGAGAGGAGGGGUGCACAGGGAUGGGAAGCUAUGGAUGAGGUGAAGGUGGUCCUCAGUGUGUGAGAGCUGCUCCAGCUCAGUGUCUCUCCAUCAGCCUGCCUCUGCUCCUCCCCAAUCACCUCAAUGAGCUCAGCCUGGCUUCUCUGAAUGGAGCGCACCAGAGCAGUAAAGACCUCCAAGCUCUCCCUAAUAUCUCUCUCUGAAUUUAUUCUGCCUGAUUGUACUGUGUCUUUGAUGUCCUUCACUUUCUGCAGUCGACCUUGAAUCAUCUGCUGCAUGACAUCUUCCAUGUUCGCUAGAUGAAGCCUCCUUUUUUUCUCCAAUGGGACAGUGUUGUGUUUCUUGUGUCUUUUCUCAGUGCAUACCUGACACAUGUAUGCCUGGUUACUUCUACAGAACAGCUCAAGAAGCUGCUGCUACCUCUUACACACUCUGUGCUCCAUGUUCAUCACAGGCUUGAUCAGGUUGUGUUUCUUGAAGGUGGUCAGUACGUGGUGAGUACGAAGUGAAUCUCACAGUAAGAGGCCUGACACUCCAGGCAGGACUUCAAGGCCUUGCAUUUCCUCCCAGUGCAGACGUCACAGGGUACUUCUCCACAUUGGGCAGCUUGGGGUUGGUCUUGGUCCAGCGGUUGGUCCUGGGUAAAAAGUAGCAGUCGCACUCGUUUCAACUGACCUCCUGACCUGAUUGGCCAUCUCAGAUAUGAAAGUAUUGACUUUGAGAUCAGGUGUUCUGCUGAAUUUCUGCUUACACAUGGGACACUGACACGGGCUGGUGGUAUGCCAGGACCCAUGUAUGCAGUCCUUGUUGUGUCCACAUGGGGUUGGGCUAG
This is a long non-coding RNA of Oncorhynchus kisutch (coho salmon), 5247 nucleotides long. NCBI's taxonomy places the organism in Eukaryota, Metazoa, Chordata, Actinopteri, Salmoniformes, Salmonidae. The record is from Ensembl.